Non-coding RNA from Danionella cerebrum, 74 nucleotides. Lineage: Eukaryota; Metazoa; Chordata; Actinopteri; Cypriniformes; Danionidae. The record is from the annotation of a GenBank genome assembly.
UUUCCUGUGGCUCAGUUGGUAGAGCAUUGCGCUAACAACACAAAGAUUGUGGGUUGAAGAAACUGACAGAAAAA